This is a long non-coding RNA of Gavialis gangeticus (Gharial), 374 nucleotides long. RefSeq lists it as uncharacterized. Lineage: Eukaryota; Metazoa; Chordata; Crocodylia; Gavialidae. The transcript is spliced from 3 exons. The record is from RefSeq and is a predicted model, not a curated record.
CGCUUGGUGUGUUUACCUGAAAAAUAAAAAUAAAACCCCCAGAAUAUACAUACAAAGGACUUCAGGACAAAUUUUGUGGAGAUGGCUGAAUUUCGUGAUUUCCGCAAAAUAUGUGAAGUCACAAUUUGAGUAGUUCCCUAUCUAUGAUCAUUCAAACCCUAGCAUCAUAUGAAACUAUGGAAGCAGCUAAAUGAUUCAUGACCCACUAUCCACCCACGCACCACACGUUGACGAUCCAGCAGAAAACCACCACUGUCAGUGGACAACGAUCAGGAAACAUUUGUAGCAGAAUGAUUAGAUAGGAGCACACCUUCACACUUUUCCCCAAAAGCUGCAUUAAAAAAAGAUAUAUUUGCAACAAACCCUAAAGAUCA